Zootermopsis nevadensis is the source of this 585-nucleotide non-coding RNA. The record is from RefSeq and is a predicted model, not a curated record. NCBI's taxonomy places the organism in Eukaryota, Metazoa, Arthropoda, Insecta, Blattodea, Termopsidae.
UACGCAUGUGCAAUGUUAGUCUCCGUGCACCUCUCCUGGUGUUCGUUUCGUUAUCUACGUGUUCGACAGUGUAAAAUAAUUUUUGUUUUGCUUCUUAGGUGUUUCUAUGUUUCCGCUCCACAUAACUUCGAAAAUUGUUGUUUGGGAAUAGUAAUUUUUGUUGGUUCGAGUAACGUGCUGAGGCAUUAUAGACAAUUAACGCGAUUUAAAAUAAAGUUGAAAGUGACACUAAUUCGCUUUGAUGUAGCCUACGUUAUAGGUGCAGAAACAAAACUGAAGCCACUUGAAAAUGUAACCAUGUCAACAAGGUUAUGUGGACUGGUUUAUCUUGCUUUCCGAAUGCAACCUGAAGAACCAUCAUAAUGUGAAUUGCGUUUUAUCAACAGCGUCUGCUCUGGUUAAUGCCAUGGUGAUGGAGGCAGCAAGGACCUCUGAAAUGUUGGUAAACUUCUACAAGACUACACGGCGCUACAACUCAGAAGGGAAACUGCUUCCUGUGUUUCUUAAAAAAUUAAAAUGAAAAAUUGUGGUAUCGCAAACGUUCUUUUAACUGUUAUUCCAAUUAAAAUUAAUACAUAAAUCACA